GACAGAGGGUGCAAACGUUGAUCGGAAUUACUGGGCGUAAAGCGAGUGUAGGCGGUUUCCUAAGUCAGGUGUGAAAGCCCCGGGCUCAACCCGGGAAGUGCACUUGAAACUGGGAGGCUAGAGUAUCGGAGAGGUUGGUGGAAUUCUCGGUGUAGAGGUGAAAUUCGUAGAUAUCGAGAGGAACACCGGUGGCGAAGGCGGCCAACUGGACGAAUACUGACGCUGAGACUCGAAAGCGUGGGGAGCAAACAGG
This 253-nucleotide ribosomal RNA is filed under the name uncultured bacterium. RNAcentral describes it as "partial 16S ribosomal RNA". It matches the Rfam family "Bacterial small subunit ribosomal RNA", at positions 524 to 776 of the family's 1533-position model. The record is from RNAcentral.